Molecule: long non-coding RNA, 674 nt
Filed under: Portunus trituberculatus (swimming crab)
Lineage: Eukaryota; Metazoa; Arthropoda; Malacostraca; Decapoda; Portunidae
Description: uncharacterized LOC123512844, transcript variant X2
Source: RNAcentral
CUCAAUCCAGAUCCAUCCCUCCCUUCCCUGCGCACUGCUGUAGCACGGUGACUAGCCAUGGAGGCAUGGCGGAGCAAGGCUUCCCACUUAUUUGCAGUUUCUAUACGUUACAAGAUACAACAACACCGACUGGAGGAUGUCUUUCCCUGCCCUGAAGGAGGAGGAAGCAGAGGUGUUGAGUCCUAUGCAGGCAGAGGGAGUCCUAACCUAAUUCAAUUGUCAGCGCGCGUUCAGACUACACUUGAAGGGAAAAAACUAAGCUAGAAUAAGCAGAUAAAUGUGAAGAAACAGCAGGCAUAUAAGGAGACAUGAUGGAAAUGCAAGACAUCGAGAUAUUUGAGGAAAUGGCACAACACCAAUAAGAGGGUGAUGUGUGACUGUGCUACUCCUCUCCAUGCAUCACUCAGCCUCCAGCACCUUGACCCAGCCAUCGUCAGUCACUCCCACACUUGAGAGGCAGCAGCACAUUAGCCAAGACUACCACUGUGGUCAGGCUCUGAACUCUUGGCUGUACAUCCAAGGAACCUUCAAACCACUCAGCUGAAGGUGAUGUAAUGUAAUACUGUAUAUUGCAAACUCAGCCUCAUGAACAACCAAGUUUGUGUGAAGGACCCUUUCAGCAUUUUAGGAACUGCCUUUCUUUGUAUGUAUUCAGGAGUAAAACUUUAAUCAAC